RNAcentral lists this ribosomal RNA (447 nucleotides) under uncultured bacterium. Its description in RNAcentral is "partial 16S ribosomal RNA". It matches the Rfam family "Bacterial small subunit ribosomal RNA", at positions 330 to 793 of the family's 1533-position model. The record is from RNAcentral.
UCCAGACUCCUACGGGAGGCAGCAGUGGGGGAUAUUGCACAAUGGGGGGAACCCUGAUGCAGCGACGCCGCGUGGGUGAAGGAGCGUUUCGGCGCGUAAAGCCCUAUCGGCAGGGAAGAAGGAGGACGGUACCUGACUAAGAAGCCCCGGCUAACUACGUGCCAGCAGCCGCGGUAAUACGCAGGGGGCAAGCGUUAUCCGGAUUUACUGGGUGUAAAGGGGGCGCAGACGGCAGCGCAAGCCAGGAGUGAAAGCCCGGGGCCCAACCCCGGGACUGCUCUUGGAACUGCGCGGCUGGAGUGCAGGAGGGGCAGGCGGAAUUCCUGGUGUAGCGGUGAAAUGCGUAGAUAUCAGGAGGAACACCGGUGGCGAAGGCGGCCUGCUGGACUGCGACUGACGUUGAGGCCCGAAAGCGUGGGGAGCAAACAGGAUUAGAUACCCGAGUAA